UUCUAUAGGUCUGUUCAGUAGGUCUGUUCUAUAGGUCUGUUCUAUAGGUCUGUUCUAUAGGUCUGUUCUAUAGGUCUGUUCAGUAGGUCUGUUCAGUAGGUCUGUUCUAUAGGUCUGUUCAGUAGGUCUGUUCAGUAGGUCUGUUCUAUAG
Molecule: long non-coding RNA, 151 nt
Organism: Oncorhynchus keta (chum salmon)
Lineage: Eukaryota; Metazoa; Chordata; Actinopteri; Salmoniformes; Salmonidae
Exons: 3
Source: RefSeq, a predicted model, not a curated record